Molecule: regulatory RNA element, 109 nt
Organism: Synechococcus sp. CC9311
Lineage: Bacteria; Bacillati; Cyanobacteriota; Cyanophyceae; Synechococcales; Synechococcaceae
Rfam family: TPP riboswitch aptamer (THI element)
About the family: Vitamin B(1) in its active form thiamin pyrophosphate (TPP) is an essential coenzyme that is synthesised by coupling of pyrimidine and thiazole moieties in bacteria.
Source: Rfam
AAAGACCACUAGGGGUGCCCCGGCUUUCAUUGCGAUCGCUGGGGCUGAGAUCACACCCUCUGAACUUGAUCCGGGUCAUGCCGGCGCAGGGAAGUGAACGAUGUGAUCU